GCGAACGCUGGCGGCAGGCUUAACACAUGCAAGUCGAACGGGCACUUCGGUGCUAGUGGCAGACGGGUGAGUAACACGUGGGAACGUACCUUUUGGUUCGGAAUAAUUCAGGGAAACUUGGACUAAUACCGGAUACGCCCUUCGGGGGAAAGAUUUAUCGCCGAAAGAUCGGCCCGCGUCUGAUUAGCUAGUUGGUGAGGUAAUGGCUCACCAAGGCGACGAUCAGUAGCUGGUCUGAGAGGAUGAUCAGCCACACUGGGACUGAGACACGGCCCAGACUCCUACGGGAGGCAGCAGUGGGGAAUAUUGGACAAUGGGCGCAAGCCUGAUCCAGCCAUGCCGCGUGUGUGAUGAAGGCCUUAGGGUUGUAAAGCACUUUGUCCGGGAAGAUAAUGA
Molecule: ribosomal RNA, 396 nt
Filed under: uncultured bacterium
Lineage: Bacteria
Description: bacterial SSU rRNA
Rfam family: Bacterial small subunit ribosomal RNA
Source: RNAcentral